AGAGUUUGAUCAUGGCUCAGAUUGAACGCUGGCGGCAGGCUUAACACAUGCAAGUCGAACGAUGAAACUCUAGCUUGCUAGAUAUGAUUAGUGGCGGACGGGUGAGUAACAUUUAGGAAUCUACCUAGUAGUGGGGGAUAGCUCGGGGAAACUCGAAUUAAUACCGCAUACGACCUACGGGUGAAAGGGGGCGCAAGCUCUUGCUAUUAGAUGAGCCUAAAUCAGAUUAGCUAGUUGGUGGGGUAAAGGCCCACCAAGGCGACGAUCUGUAACUGGUCUGAGAGGAUGAUCAGUCACACCGGAACUGAGACACGGUCCGGACUCCUACGGGAGGCAGC
This 338-nucleotide ribosomal RNA is filed under the name uncultured bacterium. RNAcentral describes it as "bacterial SSU rRNA". It matches the Rfam family "Bacterial small subunit ribosomal RNA", at positions 8 to 352 of the family's 1533-position model. The record is from RNAcentral.